Molecule: long non-coding RNA, 2126 nt
Organism: Gallus gallus (chicken)
Lineage: Eukaryota; Metazoa; Chordata; Aves; Galliformes; Phasianidae
Exons: 3
Source: RefSeq, a predicted model, not a curated record
GUAGGUCAGCUCUGAGCUGGGAUGCCCAACGCGUUGCCACGUGGGACUUCAACCUAAAAGAGGGGAAGUAGCUGGGCUUGGCAGAGCAGCAGCUCUUUCUUGGAAGGCAUCAAUGGAGAACUGCAGUCACCCCCAAGAUGCCGGAAUGCCACAGUGGGAGCAGCUCCAUCAGGAGAAGGUCGCAGCUGGGAACUCAGAAGAGUGCUCUGGGAAAACCUGCUCCUCAGCAGGGGAGAUGUCCUUCAGAAACACACAAUGCAAGAGUUUGUGUCAUGGGACAGGAAAUAGGGCCAAAGGAACAGCCACAGCCCCUGAGGUGUUACCCCCACAUAACCAGCCUUGGCUUUGUGCACUAAUUUGGGAAGGAAGGAAACGUCUUACACAGAGCCAGCUGAGCAGGCAGUGUGCUUCUGGUUAAUGCUGCCGACCAGCUGUAGUGCAGGAGAAGCCAAUGGGAGCAGGCAGGACUGCUCUGAGCUCCAGGAAAGCAUCACCAGGUCCCCUCUCUGCCCCACUCCUUCAUCCAGGUGGUAACUCCGCCUUAGGGCUGCGUUCCCAUGUCAAGGAUGGAAGACACUGGAGACUAAAAGCCCUCUGUGACCAUGAUGCUUAAUGAAGACUUUCCCAAGUGAGGUCCAAAUCAACAGCUGAAUGAACUCCAGCACUAAAACCAUCUCAAGUUUGGUAGUCAGCUCCUCCACGUUGUCUCCUUUCCUUCCCGUGUAAUAAUCUCACUGAAACUGCUUUUGUUACACGAGCCCAUUCCUGCUUUUUGUGCAGCACCAUGAGUGCCCACCAGCACGAGUUCCACGGCAGGACCUCAGGAACCCCUUCAGUUAUCGUGCCCUUCCCAUCGCCUUUUGUCCUCUCUCUUAGCCCCAUCCUCACACCAUUUCUAAUCCCCGCCUCCCCCAGGUACUACCUAACGCCAGCAAUGGAAUACUGUGCUACAGCUGCGGUUUGAGAAGACUCAUAACAGCGACAGUCACAGCAGUGUGGCAGAUGUAUCCUCAGUAAACACACCCCCUUCACUCAGCUGCCCACCAGCUGCAUUCUGCAGCGCAGUAUGUUUGAGAACAUCUAGGCAGCACCAGCCUUUCUUUCCCUCUAUUCCCCUCAUCAUGCAGUUACUCCGGUAACUGCUCUACAAACACAUACCCAGGGUGGAUACUCCGUCAGCUUUUUCCUCCCCAGAACUCAUCACUUAAAAAUCCCAGGGGAAAGAUUGUUUGCUUUCUGAAAUUUGCACACGCUUUUUCAUUUCCACGUUGCUGAAUUAUCUCAGUGUGGCUCAGCGCGUCUCCCUCUCCACCUCACCCAAAACUGAACACCAUCCCCUACAUGAGGAGCAAGAAGAGGGGUGCCGAGUGCUGUUCUGUAACUCUGGAAUCCCACCCCACACUGAUGCAGUGGUUUCAUGUCAUUUUCUUCUCACGCUUUCAAAAUAAUUUGCAGCUAUUUUCAUCUCCGUGAAAGAUGAAUGGCUUUGAGCCAUUCUCAACUCCACCCUGACACCUCGUUCUCAUUUUUAGUUAAGUCAAACAAACAGCUCUUCUCAUCCAUCAGCCUCUUCCAUUUCACGUUUCCUGGGUCAAAUUGCAAGAUGUUGCAGUGGGGUCUGACACGUUAUUUAAAACCCCAAGGCUCCUCGGUGAAAUUAUCAUCACCAGUCAGCAAUAAGGUAAGGAAUAACUUCAUUGAAAUGAAGAACUUCACUGUGUUGCAAAACUUGAGUUGACUCAAAUCAGGAUUAGAUCUCAAGCUGAGGUUUUGCCGUGAGUAGCUCAGAUCAGUGUUUAGCACAACCUUCACCCAAACUUCCAACUAUGGAGGGAAGCAUCUCUAACCCUGCCUCGCUUUCAGUGCUACAUGAACAGGACUUCCAUAAUUAUCUUCCCACGGUACACAGAAGCAGGAAUAAAUGCAGUCGUGUCACGGGAUGUUGGCAGAAAACACCCAACCAUACUUACAGUUGGAGAAUCACAGAAUUGCUCAGGUUGGAAAAGACCUUAACGAUCAUCGAGCACAACCAUGACCUAACCCUACUACCCUCAUUAACAACCCUUCAUUAAAUCAUGUCCCUGAGCACCACAUCCAAAUGGUUUUUAAACACAUCCAGGGAUGGU